RNAcentral lists this ribosomal RNA (450 nucleotides) under uncultured bacterium. RNAcentral describes it as "partial 16S ribosomal RNA". It matches the Rfam family "Bacterial small subunit ribosomal RNA", at positions 354 to 796 of the family's 1533-position model. The record is from RNAcentral.
GUGGGGAAUUUUGGACAAUGGGCGAAAGCCUGAUCCAGCCAUGCCGCGUGCAGGAUGAAGGCCUUCGGGUUGUAAACUGCUUUUGUACGGAACGAAAAGACUCCUUCUAAUAAAGGGGGUCCAUGACGGUACCGUAAGAAUAAGCACCGGCUAACUACGUGCCAGCAGCCGCGGUAAUACGUAGGGUGCAAGCGUUAAUCGGAAUUACUGGGCGUAAAGCGUGCGCAGGCGGUUAUAUAAGACAGAUGUGAAAUCCCCGGGCUCAACCUGGGAACUGCAUUUGUGACUGUAUAGCUAGAGUACGGUAGAGGGGGAUGGAAUUCCGCGUGUAGCAGUGAAAUGCGUAGAUAUGCGGAGGAACACCGAUGGCGAAGGCAAUCCCCUGGACCUGUACUGACGCUCAUGCACGAAAGCGUGGGGAGCAAACAGGAUUAGAAACCCUGGAAGUCC